This is a long non-coding RNA of Pleuronectes platessa (European plaice), 2113 nucleotides long. RefSeq lists it as uncharacterized. NCBI's taxonomy places the organism in Eukaryota, Metazoa, Chordata, Actinopteri, Pleuronectiformes, Pleuronectidae. The record is from RefSeq and is a predicted model, not a curated record. The transcript has 3 exons.
CCAGCACCAUAAAAACCAAAAGGAAAAGGAUCACCAGUUGUGUGUGUGUGUGUUUGUGUGAGUGUGUGUGCGUGUGCUUCUUACAACACCUCUAAGGGCAAAAGGGAAGAGAUCCAAGAGGUGGAAGAAAUGAAGCCAAAAUAUCGCGAUGAGCGCUGCCAUUCUGCAGUGAUGGCAUCAUUCGGAGCCAAAGGCUGCGCAGUGUGGCGAUAGGGGGAUGAGGCUGCGUUAUCAACCAAUCAUGAAAAACACAUCGUGAGGAGAACGACCUAAAGUGCUGGAUGUAGCUCUCAAGGCGUGAAGUAAAUUCAAGUUAUAAAAAAGAAGGUCAAACAGCCAUUUUCAACAAGCACAUCUAUAGCAGGGUCUCUUUCCCAGGAAAGUGAGCAUGUCCAAACAGUUGAAGGUGGUCAGACUCAGAAACACCUCGUUGACGGGCCCCAGAUCACGGUCGAUCAAGUAAAAGAGUCGAAACAUGUGGUAGGGCACGAGGCAGGCCACCAUGAUGAGGGCGAAGCACAGGCUCUUCAGCUGAGCCCCGAAGCCCUGCUGAUAGGUGCAUCCCUGCCGAUGCUUCCUGUACAAAACCCUCAGGGCGUUUGCUUGGAGGGCCGUCAGCCCGGUAGCCACCACUAUGAUCAGCAGGCUCACGAUGUAAUUGAUCGCCAUGGCACCGGGCACCUCGCGUAUGCUUUCGCCGAAAUCAAAACAUCUCGUUUCAUUUCCUCCGGUGAUGUUGGUUUGUCCAUAGGAAAGACAGACGGUCACUGGGACUACGAUGAACACCGCCAGCCACCCCCCCGCGCUGAACAGGAGCGCGUGGAUGAAGUGGAAAGAGGCUAGCUGCUCGGCCUUGCGGUAGAACGCCAGGAGGCGCGUGACAAGGAUGAUCACGUAGAAGAGGAAAGACAUGUACAUGUGGACGUGGAUCAUGCUGCUGACCACCUUACACCAGCCGCGGCCCAGGCUCCAGCUACUGGUCACGUAAUAGUAAAUCCUGAAGGGCACGGUGACGAGGAAGAUGAAGUGGGUGAAGAUGAGGUUGAGGACAGCGGUGGAGGUGAUGGAUGUGGAGCUGGACUUCAGGAUGUGCAUCAUCAGGCUCAGGCUGACGGUGCCGCUCACCAGAACAACAGCGUUGAUGCCCACAAGGAUUGGAUGGUACCCAUCAGGAAAUGUGGUAUUCUGGGCCACCGUUGAAUUCAUCUGAGAGAGAGAGAGGAAAAUUGAUUUUGAUCCUACCCCUAUCUACAUCAAAUGAUAAAUGGUCUGUAUUUAAUUAGCAGCUUUUAUAGUCUUGACGACCACUCAAAGAACUUCACAGUAGUUUAUUGCCAUUCACACAUUCAUAGAGUGCAUCUAUGUGCCGAAAUCAAUAGUACAGACAUUUAACAAAAUAUAUUUUUACCAGCUCAUGCAACUCUAAAAACUGUGGCUACACACAACAGCGAUUAAAACAAAGGUCGUCUAUGUUGGAGGGGUUGUGGCAAGGUGGGAGACCACACACAUAUAUUUUGCGACCGUCCAAAGUUAUCAGAAUACUGGAAAAAAAAACCAAAGGGAAAUAAAAACAUGUUUAUUUAUUGACAUACCGCUAGAACCAUCACACUUUAUUUUAGGGUUAUUGCCUGAUAACCUUGAAGAAAAUAGCCAAACAAAACUUCUGAGAGCCCUUCUUCUAAUAGCAAAUAAAGUAAUAACAACCUCCUUGCUGCUGCUCUAUUACAACUGAAAGCAGAGGUAUUCCUAAACAACUGGUCCCCCAUUGCUCUACACCUCCAUUUGAUAUGAUAAGCGGAAUAUAGAGAUAUAUUUAUUUUAUUUUCUCUUUGUUUUUCCUUUUAAGCAACGGAUAUUUGCAGGCCAUUUUCUUUUUUUUCGGAAUACUGUCUUAAUGUAAUGUUAUGUGUGAUGUACUGUGUUUGUGGACAAUGCUAAUUUGUAACUCAAUUCUGAUAUGCCGUGAUCCUGAUGGCUUGGGCCCAAGACAUCCCUGGACAGUUAACCCCACUAGGCUAAGACUUGUACCCGUGGCACCUAAUUUCAUGGUAAAAAUGAUGUGAUGUACUGUAUGACUGCAUUUGAUAAAAGGAAAUAAAAAUAAAAAAACAAA